This 212-nucleotide long non-coding RNA is filed under the name Setaria italica (foxtail millet). RNAcentral describes it as "long non-coding RNA (SITA_LNC003741)". The record is from RNAcentral. Lineage: Eukaryota; Viridiplantae; Streptophyta; Magnoliopsida; Poales; Poaceae.
GCCUGCUUAGAUUUUUUCUAAAAGGAAUUAUGAUAACGUUACAUUGUUACUAACCAGAGUACUGAAAAUAAGGCUUAAUCCUGCUAGGUGAACAGGGGAUUAUUCCAUACUUUUUAACAUCCAUAACCUGAGAAAAGAAUUCAGCAUACUACUUCAUCGUAGUACCCAACUCUGCAUUUCAUUGCCAAUAAGACUCAUGAAGCCAAGUUACA